GUCCGCGAGCCUGAUACUUGGUUAAGGCUCUCCGGGCGUCAAUUCUUCCAAGCACUGACGAACCGCUGUCCCGCGUUCGUCUAAGACAUAAGGACUAGGAUGUGUAUGAUUCUGUUCAUCUUAUACAUAUGCAUCCGAAAUCAGGAUUUAUUUCCUGACAAGAUGACCUACGCUUCGUAGAUACAUUCACACAUCUUUCUCUACACGGGAGUUCGAUUCUCCCCACCUCCACCU
Molecule: transfer-messenger RNA, 234 nt
Filed under: bacterium
Lineage: Bacteria
Description: partial transfer-messenger RNA
Rfam family: transfer-messenger RNA
About the family: Bacterial tmRNA, also known as 10Sa RNA or SsrA, is named for its dual tRNA and mRNA-like properties. Its role is to liberate the mRNA from a stalled ribosome. To accomplish this part of the tmRNA is used as a reading frame that ends in a translation stop signal.
Source: RNAcentral